Long non-coding RNA from Bos taurus (domestic cattle), 1481 nucleotides. NCBI's taxonomy places the organism in Eukaryota, Metazoa, Chordata, Mammalia, Artiodactyla, Bovidae. The record is from Ensembl.
AGUUCUUCCUGCCCUCCUAUGAGAGAUCCCGCUUGGGGCAGUGACCUCAGACCUACUGGCACAUGAAUUCAACUCUGCUCUUUAGUCUUUAACAAACAUUUAUUGUAUACCUUGGGGCUUCCCUGAUGGCUCAAAUGGUAAAGAAUCUUCCUACAAUGCAGGAGACCUGGGCUCUAUCCCUGGGUGGGGAAGAUCCCCUGGAGAAAGUGAAUGGCUACCCACUCCAGUAUUCUUGCCUGGAGAAUUCCACGGACAGAGGAGCCUACUGUGUGGCAGGUCCGGUGUGACUGAGUUGAUGCUGGCAUAGCUCCUGCCCUCAAGGAACUCACUGACUGGCAGGGGUGGUGUGACUGGCACUGAAGGAGUCACGGGAUAUAAGUUAGUGCAGGGAUGCAGGCGCCUGCCUCAUCCAGCCUGGGGACAGGGGAAGCUUCUGGAGGAGAUGCCAGAGCUGGAUCUUGACGACGAGGAGAGGAGAGCCUGAAGGGGCAUGAAACGGUAAUGAGGUGGAGGGAACAGCAAGAGCAAAGGCAGGGAGGAGUGAGGAUUGGAAGAGGCCGCUGCCCUGGGCACUGGCCCCGCCCCAUGGCGGGACCACCCACAGACUCAUCUGUUGAUGGGGAAGGGGCGCUGGACCGGAAGUGAGGUCCACCUGACUGGCUGGCCUCCCUGGGUGAGGCAGGGUAGUGAUUCUAACCCCAGGGGCUCUGGACACCUCACCAUGUGUAGAGAACCGAGAAAACAAGUAGGCAGAGUUAUAAAACCAUGAUAUUAUCUAUUAUCUAAUCAGAUACACCUGGCUUUACUAAAGACACUAAUGGCCAGGGAGGCCCAGGGUCAGUUCCCCGGAGGAGCACAGACAGGCUGCCAGCGCACAGGUCUCCUGGGCACCAACUCACAGUGGCCUAAACCAAACAGUGAAUGAAGCAUUUGCUCCGGGGAGAUGGCCUGCAGCGUUCCUCCACCCUCAAGACCUGAGCGGCUCCUCAAGAAAUGCUUUCCCUGGGCUCUCAUUGGCUAGGAGCAACAGGAAGCGGACGGGGGAAAGCGGCGUCCUCCCCAGCGGCCCCAUCCCAGGAGCCGCGGCUCCUGCAAUCCUCAGCGCUCCCCGGCCGGGGCUGGGCCGACCGGCCGGCGGCACCCUCCGGAUCCGACGCGGCCCUCCGGAUCCCAGCGGGCCAAGAGGAGGUGCAUCCAGACCCAUGACACACGCCCGCGGCCAGGUGGCUGACCCCGGGGGAAGCCGCGAGCGGCGGCGCGCUCCCCUCGGGCGUCCGCGGACCCGCCCCUCGUGCUCCCACUCUCCGCUGGAUUUCUCCUCUCCCUUAAGCUGCCUGUCUGCCUUCUCCGGCUGCAUGCCGUCUCUGUGUCCGAGUCCGGGUCUCUCAAACUCUCCGCCUCUCGGGGAGCUGGACUCGAGCCGCCCGAGAAGCCUCAUUUAUCCUCCCAUCCCCCUGCCAAAUCCUGUCGGCGCUCCGCCC